CCUACGGGUGGCAGCAGUGAGGAAUAUUGGUCAAUGGGCGCGAGCCUGAACCAGCCAAGUCGCGUGAAGGAUGACUGCCCUACGGGUUGUAAACUUCUUUUAUAAAGGAAUAAAGUGAGGCACGUGUGCCUUGUUGUAUAUUUUUUAUGAAUAAGGAUCGGCUAAAUCCGUGCCAGCAGCCGCGGUAAUACGGAGGAUCCGAGCGUUAUCCGGAUUUAUUGGGUUUAAAGGGAGCGUAGAUGGGUUGUUAAGUCAGUUGUGAAAGUUUGCGGCUCAAACGUAAAAUUGCAAUUGAUACUGGCAGCCGUGAGUAGACUGGAGGUAUGCGGAAUGCGUGGUGUAGCGGUGAAAUGCAUAGAUAUCACGAAGAACUCCGAUUGCGAAGGCAGCCUACUAAACUGCCACUGACACUGAUGCUCGAAAGUGUGGGUAUCAAACAGGAUUAGAUACCCUAGUAGUC
RNAcentral lists this ribosomal RNA (460 nucleotides) under uncultured bacterium. Its description in RNAcentral is "partial 16S ribosomal RNA". It matches the Rfam family "Bacterial small subunit ribosomal RNA", at positions 338 to 795 of the family's 1533-position model. The record is from RNAcentral.